GACGAACGCUGGCGGCGUGCUUAAUACAUGCAAGUCGAGCGGUGAACCCGACUGAAAGCCUUCGGGCUUGACGUUGGGGGAUCAGCGGCGGAUGGGUGAGUAACGCGUGGGUACCUGCCCUAAAGUCUGGGAUAACAACUCGAAAGGGUUGCUAAUACCGGAUGUGACCGAGAGGUUAAAGGCAGAGAUGUCGCUUUAGGAUGGGCCCGCGUCCCAUUAGCUAGUUGGUGAGGUAAGGGCUCACCAAGGCUGCGAUGGGUAGCCGGCCUGAGAGGGUGGACGGCCACACUGGGACUGAGACACGGCCCAGACUCCUACGGGAGGCAGCAGUGGGGGAAUUUUGGACAAUGGGCGCAAGCCUGAUCCAGCCAUGCCGCGUGUGGGAAGAAGGCCUUCGGGUUGUAAACCACUUUUGUUCAGGGAAGAAACGGUUUGACUUAAUACGUUGAACUAAUGACGGUACCUGAAGAAUAAGCACCGGCUAACUACGUG
Molecule: ribosomal RNA, 492 nt
Filed under: uncultured bacterium
Lineage: Bacteria
Description: bacterial SSU rRNA
Rfam family: Bacterial small subunit ribosomal RNA
Source: RNAcentral